AUGGCCUUGUUUGCCCGACUCUGCAGACUUUUUCAGAGAGCCAAUGUGGAUGGGAGAGAGACCAGAGAGGGGAGGAAGGAUGCUGACCUUCCAUCUGAGAGUAAUGAAGGACGAAGGAGGUGGACUUGGCGAAUGUGGAUGGCUCACAGACAGACAACAUCCCCUGUUCCUGUCACAAGCAAAAAGCAGUUUGAGAAGGAAGAGAAGGAGCUGAUCAAAAAGAUCCAGCUCACUACCAAGGAGAUAAAUGAGCUGAGAGAUCGCCUGAUCUACGUGACCAAGGGAUCCAUGAACAAGAGGCCCUACCACAGGCAAACUCGACAUUAUAAAGAACUGAAAUUAAAGGAGAAGGAGAUAAUGACAUAUCUACACGACUUAGAGAUGAAGAACAUGGAGGCCCGAGAGAACAAU
Molecule: long non-coding RNA, 411 nt
Filed under: Mus musculus (house mouse)
Lineage: Eukaryota; Metazoa; Chordata; Mammalia; Rodentia; Muridae
Description: predicted gene, 21655 (ENSMUSG00000105052.5)
Source: RNAcentral